Molecule: long non-coding RNA, 753 nt
Organism: Fundulus heteroclitus (mummichog)
Lineage: Eukaryota; Metazoa; Chordata; Actinopteri; Cyprinodontiformes; Fundulidae
Exons: 3
Source: RefSeq, a predicted model, not a curated record
CAGUUUUACUACCUAUCUGAUGGCUCAGUUUUACAGCUCUAUUCCAAAAUAGCCAACAUGCAGUACGGUGGGUUGUUUUCCGAGCUUUAAAGUGGUUCCAAAGUGGAAGAUGAACCCCAAAAUAUUUGCUUAAUACCAAUUCAUGUCUUUUAUCUCAAUGUUUUCUUUAACUGAUUAAUUCUUUCAGUAACAUUAAUUCCAGUUUUCCUUGCUUCUCAUUACAGCUUUCCACUUGUGCGAGACUUCUGCAGUUUGGAAAUUUCCUUGUGCUACCAGUGCUACACACACUUCUAUUCUCUAUCAACACAUUAAAGGCACCUUACAUCAGAAUCCCAUCAUUGACAAACCGCAUCCCUGAUUUGCAUAUUCGAUUACAACAAAAAACCGUACACAUACACACACACACACUUACUGACAGAUAUACACAGCAUAAAUUACUAGCAUCCCUACAAAUACAACUGUUGUAUAUUACAAAUUUAGGGCAUAUUUUUCUGUCUGCUUUUUGGAUAACAUAACUUUCCUUCCAAGUCUUAGUCUUUCUGAAAGCUUCCCAGGAUGCCACGCAGAGGUAGGCGCUCGGAGGCGGCCAAGAGGAGAUGGAGGCGUCUGGACCAGGAGGAUCUGCAAUCCACCUCAUCGGAUUGCACCAAGCCCGGGACGCCACCCACCACCUCACGGGUUUGGUCCCCCACACAGUCUCCACUGCUGAAGAUGUCCAGGCUGCUCGAGCCGCUUUCUCCUGACGAGGCAAGU